Molecule: ribosomal RNA, 404 nt
Filed under: uncultured bacterium
Lineage: Bacteria
Description: partial 16S ribosomal RNA
Rfam family: Bacterial small subunit ribosomal RNA
Source: RNAcentral
AUUGAACGCUGGCGGCAGGCCUAACACAUGCAAGUCGAGCGAGCGGCGGACGGGUGCGUAAUGCCUGGGAAUUGCCCAGUCGAGGGGGAUCACAGUUGGAAACGACUGCUAAUACCGCAUACGAUUGGCUUGCCCUGGGGGGAUUAGCUAGUUGGUGAGGUAAUGGCUCACCAAGGCGACGAUCCCUAGCGGGUCUGAGCGAAUGAUCAGCCAAACUGGAACUGAGACACGGUCCAGACUCCUACGGGAGGCAGCAGUGGGGAAGAUUGAACAAUGGGGGAAAUCCUGAUGCAGCCAUGCCGCGUGUGUGAAGAAGGCCUUCGGGUGGUAAAGCACUUUCAGCGAGGAGGCGUUACUCGCAGAAGAAGCACCGGCUAACUCCGUGCCAGCAGCAGCGGUAAUAC